This is a long non-coding RNA of Canis lupus familiaris (dog), 519 nucleotides long. RefSeq lists it as uncharacterized. NCBI's taxonomy places the organism in Eukaryota, Metazoa, Chordata, Mammalia, Carnivora, Canidae. The transcript is spliced from 4 exons. The record is from RefSeq and is a predicted model, not a curated record.
CCUUCUGCUGGCUGGAUUUAUCCUCAGCAUACCUAUAAUGGUCCCUGACACUUCAUGGCUCACUUCUUUCUGCCAGUAGUUCCAAGGGAAGAGGCAUUCAUGUAAAUCCUGGGAUUCAUUGGAAUCAAACCAGUUUGGGAGAUUUGUGUGUUCCUGCACCAAUCAUUCUUGGACCAGCACAAUUGGAAUUAUGGUGUAUGGAAAAGGGACAGAGAAGAAGUGGAGGAAAGGGCACUUAAUCACCUGUUACUUAUGAAAAGAAGAUUGUUGGAAGCUGCUGCAUGCUUCUUCCAUCUCAUUGGUUCAUGGCCACACUUAACCAACUACAAGGUGCAGAAGCAUUGAGAGAGUGGGAAGCUGUGGUCUGAUGGACAGGGUCCUGGCCUUGAACUCAGAAGGUGCUCUGUAUGCACGGAGGACCCAAGAUUGAAGAGAACAGUAAUGGUCUGUGCUAUGAGACAAAAAUAAUAUUAACUAACAGCAUUACUGUGAGAAUAAAAACAAGAUCAUGAAUGCAAG